Molecule: ribosomal RNA, 477 nt
Filed under: uncultured bacterium
Lineage: Bacteria
Description: partial 16S ribosomal RNA
Rfam family: Bacterial small subunit ribosomal RNA
Source: RNAcentral
GACGAACGCUGGCGGCGUGCUUAACACAUGCAAGUCGAACGAUGAAGCCCUUCGGGGUGGAUUAGUGGCGAACGGGUGAGUAACACGUGGGCAAUCUGCCCUUCACUCUGGGACAAGCCCUGGAAACGGGGUCUAAUCCCGGAUAUCACUCUCGCAGGCAUCUGUGAGGGUCGAAAGCUCCGGCGGUGAAGGAUGAGCCCGCGGCCUCGCAGCUUGUUGGUGAGGUAAUGGCUCACCAAGGCGACGACGGGUAGCCGGCCUGAGAGGGCGACCGGCCACACUGGGACUGAGACACGGCCCAGACUCCUACGGGAGGCAGCAGUGGGAAUAUUGCACAAUGGGCGAAAGCCUGAUGCAGCGACGCCGCGUGAGGGAUGACGGCCUUCGGGUUGUAAACCUCUUUCAGCAGGGAAGAAGCGAAAGUGACGGUACCUGCAGAAGAAGCGCCGGCUAACUACGUGCCAGUAGCCGCCGUAA